This 501-nucleotide ribosomal RNA is filed under the name Triticum aestivum (bread wheat). Its description in RNAcentral is "partial small subunit ribosomal RNA". The record is from RNAcentral. Lineage: Eukaryota; Viridiplantae; Streptophyta; Magnoliopsida; Poales; Poaceae.
AUGGCGGUCUCCUUCUGGGUGGCCGACCCACCGCAGUUGUCCCUCUUCUCCAUCGGCUGCUCCAAGCCCCAUGAUCUGCAUCACUCAAAGCACGCCAACUUCAGAAACUUGCCAAACGUGGUGGGCGUAGAGGGCCGCCUCGUCCUCCUCCGUGCCGCCUUCGCCGAACACUACGGCGUGUCCGAAUAUUUCCUAUACAAGGCCGCCGGUGACGCCGGCGAGCCGCCGUCGCUCCAACGGAUCCCUUCUCCCUACGAGAAUGAUGACGGCGAUGACCUGCGCGGGGUCAGGGAGUUUGGCAUCCUGCUAUUUCUAAUACACCAAAAAAUUGGAACCCUGAUGAUGGCGACGGGCGACGCCGGCGACGUCCCCCGCCGGCUGGCCUCCAUCCUCCUCGCCCAGAAACCGCGCUUCACGGACAGCAGGAACGAGACCACGGCCACAACCGAAUCCAAGGCCGGCUACACCAUGGCGGUCUCCUUCUGGAGGGGGAUUGGAUGA